AUGUGCCUUCACAUCAAUAAUGGCAUCCAGCAUGAAAGCUUUUCUUUUUCUGCAUCCGCUGCUCUGUUAAGUGAUCACCACAUUCAUUGUUCUCGUUUCUAUUAUUUCUGAAAAAAAUCUUCAGGAUUCUGCUUGUGGGAGUGGAUGACAUUUUUACAGUGUUUACAGGCUGAAAAUUUUUCGAGCUUUUAUGCUCUGCUUCCGUUAUAAGGAGGAGGCCUCACAAUCCUGGUGGAAGGCAAGGAGGAGCAAGUCACAUCUUAUGUGGAUGGCAGCAGGCAAAGAAAGCUUAUGCAGCUUUAUCUAUUCCAGAAUGUCAUAUAGCUGGUAUAAGGUUGUCUUCAUUCAUUUCCACAGUUUCUCUGGAGGUUCCAACAAGAUACGGUCUCCAUUGCCCAUUGCUCUGGACCCCAGCCAUCACCCAGUGCAGCAGUGAUGCCUUAUGACAAGUCAGCACCUGGUCUGAACUCUGCUCUCUUUGCACUGAAUUCUUUGAGUUUUUAUUCCAAGUUCAGUCAUUGGUUUUAGUAUUGGUUCCCAUCUGCUUGGCAUCCUUGGUGGAAUUGGGCUUCUUUUUUCAAUUUCUUUUUGCUGUCUUUUUGUUUUACUGUGUUGAGUAGUGCUAUCUAAAUGUGUUUAUCAUAAAAGAAGCAGCACAUGAUCAUAGGCCCAUGAGCCUGUUUUUCAAGCCAGCCAAACAGCACAUUUAGUUUGACAUUCACACUGGACCUCUGUCCAUUUUUAUAAACUUCGCUUUGGGUCAUCAAUAAAACUAAAUGAAGUUCUCUCU
This 790-nucleotide long non-coding RNA is filed under the name Homo sapiens (human). RNAcentral's name for it is "long intergenic non-protein coding RNA 1608". Lineage: Eukaryota; Metazoa; Chordata; Mammalia; Primates; Hominidae. The record is from RNAcentral.